This 1000-nucleotide ribosomal RNA is filed under the name Bacillus sp. NCCP-1118. RNAcentral's name for it is "bacterial SSU rRNA". It matches the Rfam family "Bacterial small subunit ribosomal RNA", at positions 51 to 1037 of the family's 1533-position model. The record is from RNAcentral. Lineage: Bacteria; Bacillati; Bacillota; Bacilli; Caryophanales; Bacillaceae.
ACACUUGGUCCAAGAGCGAGCGGACAGAUGGGAGCUUGCUCCCUGAUGUUAGCGGCGGACGGGUGAGUAACACGUGGGUAACCUGCCUGUAAGACUGGGAUAACUCCGGGAAACCGGGGCUAAUACCGGAUGGUUGUUUGAACCGCAUGGUUCAAACAUAAAAGGUGGCUUCGGCUACCACUUACAGAUGGACCCGCGGCGCAUUAGCUAGUUGGUGAGGUAACGGCUCACCAAGGCAACGAUGCGUAGCCGACCUGAGAGGGUGAUCGGCCACACUGGGACUGAGACACGGCCCAGACUCCUACGGGAGGCAGCAGUAGGGAAUCUUCCGCAAUGGACGAAAGUCUGACGGAGCAACGCCGCGUGAGUGAUGAAGGUUUUCGGAUCGUAAAGCUCUGUUGUUAGGGAAGAACAAGUACCGUUCGAAUAGGGCGGUACCUUGACGGUACCUAACCAGAAAGCCACGGCUAACUACGUGCCAGCAGCCGCGGUAAUACGUAGGUGGCAAGCGUUGUCCGGAAUUAUUGGGCGUAAAGGGCUCGCAGGCGGUUUCUUAAGUCUGAUGUGAAAGCCCCCGGCUCAACCGGGGAGGGUCAUUGGAAACUGGGGAACUUGAGUGCAGAAGAGGAGAGUGGAAUUCCACGUGUAGCGGUGAAAUGCGUAGAGAUGUGGAGGAACACCAGUGGCGAAGGCGACUCUCUGGUCUGUAACUGACGCUGAGGAGCGAAAGCGUGUGGAGCGAACAGGAUUAGAUACCCUGGUAGUCCACGCCGUAAACGAUGAGUGCUAAGUGUUACGGGGUCUCCGCCCCUUAGUGCUGCACUAACGCAUUAAGCACUCCGCCUGGGGAGUACGGUCGCAGACUGAAACUCAAGGAAUUGACGGCGUCCGCACAAACGGUGGAUCAUGUGGUUUAUUCGAGCACGCGCAGAACCUGACCACGGCUGGACAUCUCUCGACAGCCUAAAGAAGGACGUCCCCCUCCAGGGGCCAGUGACAG